Molecule: long non-coding RNA, 592 nt
Filed under: Heterocephalus glaber (naked mole-rat)
Lineage: Eukaryota; Metazoa; Chordata; Mammalia; Rodentia; Bathyergidae
Description: lncRNA (ENSHGLG00100034044.1)
Source: RNAcentral
CGGGGGAGUGUGUUUGUGUGUGGGGGUGGGUGUGAGUGCCCGGCACACACGCACGCACACACACACACACGCACACUCCGGCAGGCUCGUCUGAACUUGAAGACACCCCGCAUUCCAAGAUGCCCGAGGUUCCUGGGAAUGCCCAGGGUUCUGCGCUCCGGAAAAUCCCGCUGGCAUCUUCCUAAGAAGGAAUUAUCUUCUCUUUGCUUUUUUUUUUUUUUUUUUUAAUCUGGAGGAGAGGAGAACAAGUUGUGCUUUCCCCUCCCCUUCUUCCUGGUAAAUGCCAUGGAUAUAUCCGAAUAAGCCGCUCAGGGCUCUCCCCGCGUGGACGUCGGAGGCCACCAUCUGCCCGCAGUCGCCGGAGCCCGAGGGCUUAGUUGGAGCCCGACUUGGGCGAGGGAAGGAUGCGCGGCCGAGCCAGGGAGCCCGGCCGCCCCGCGGAGCCGGCCUCAGAGCCUCCCAGCCGGGGGUAGAUGCUGCCCUGCCCAGGGCCUGCAUCCAGAAGUCUCCCGGCUUUUGUGCUUGUGGCCACUGCCUCUGCUGCCUACCAGUGCCAAGGAUGGAGAGGCCUCGAGUCAAGGAUGCUGAAGGC